AACCUACCUUAAUCUGGGGGAUAGCCCGAAGAAAUUCGGAUUAACACCGCAUAAAAUCACAGUACGGCAUCGUACAAUGAUCAAAUGUUUAUAGGAUUAAGAUGGGCAUGCGUGACAUUAGUUAGUUGGUGAGGUAACGGCUCACCAAGACUACGAUGUCUAGGGGAUCUGAGAGGAUGACCCCCCACACUGGUACUGAGACACGGACCAGACUCCUACGGGAGGCAGCAGUAAGGAAUAUUGGUCAAUGGAGGCAACUCUGAACCAGCCAUGCCGCGUGCAGGAAGACGGCCCUACGGGUUGUAAACUGCUUUUGUCGGGGAAUAAACCCUUCUACGUGUAGGAGGCUGAAUGUACUCGAAGAAUAAGGAUCGGCUAACUCCGUGCCAGCAGCCGCGGUAAUACGGAGGAUCCAAGCGUUAUCCGGAUUUAUUGGGUUUAAAGGGUGCGUAGGCGGCCUAUUAAGUCAGGGGUGAAAGACGGUGGCUCAACCAUCGCAGUGCCUUUGAUACUGAUAGGCUUGAAUGAACUUGAGGUAGGCGGAAUGUGACAAGUAGCGGUGAAAUGCAUAGAUAUGUCACAGAACACCGAUUGCGAAGGCAGCUUACUAAGGUUUAAUUGACGCUGAGGCACGAAAGCGUGGGGAUCAAACAGGAUUAGAUACCCUGGUAGUCCACGCCCUAAACGAUGAACACUCGAUGUUAGCGAUAUACAGUUAGCGUCUAAGCGAAAGCGUUAAGUGUUCCACCUGGGGAGUACGCCCGCAAGGGUGAAACUCAAAGGAAUUGACGGGGGCCCGCACAAGCGGAGGAGCAUGUGGUUUAAUUCGAUGAUACGCGAGGAACCUUACCCGGGCUUGAAAGUUACUGAAGAGAGCAGAGACGCUCUCGUCCUUCGGGACAGGAAACUAGGUGCUGCAUGGCUGUCGUCAGCUCGUGCCGUGAGGU
Molecule: ribosomal RNA, 947 nt
Filed under: uncultured bacterium
Lineage: Bacteria
Description: bacterial SSU rRNA
Rfam family: Bacterial small subunit ribosomal RNA
Source: RNAcentral